Oryza sativa Japonica Group (Japanese rice) is the source of this 1997-nucleotide RNA transcript. RefSeq lists it as uncharacterized. Lineage: Eukaryota; Viridiplantae; Streptophyta; Magnoliopsida; Poales; Poaceae. The record is from RefSeq and is a predicted model, not a curated record.
GGGUAGGGCCGGGUAACACAGUACUAUGCAUGCAGCUUCUUCUUCCUCCCUCACUUCUUUCUCCACUGCAGUAGUUCUUGGGUUUGUGAGACUCCCACAGAGAGCAUGAUUCACUCCGGCGGCCGCCGCCGCCGCCACCGCCGCGGCAGCAAAGGGCCGUACGAGCGCGGCGGCGACGGGGAGGUGGACGGAAGCCCACGCGAAGCCAAGGGCUGCAUGGACGCAGCGGCGACGGACGCACAGGCAGGCUCCACUUUGGGCAGCGGCUGCUGUGCUGCUAUGGCUCACGCAUGGAUGGAGGAGUUUUCCGGGGACAAGGAGGAGGUGAAAGAUGUCUUGCUUGCUCAAGUCUUCGCUAAGCAUAAACCCAUUGAAAGAGACUGACAUGAUUUUGCUUGAGAGGGGAUUCUGCCACUGUGAGAAGGGGGAAGAACUACCAAAAAAAAAUCAACAGGAACCACCACCGCAUCAACUUUUACAGCAGAAGAACCAUCAGCAAUGUCAGCAACAAGCUGCUCACACUCCAAAGUCGAUGGUGCAGAAGCCUGAGUGGAACACGCAUGAGGAGGUGAAGGAGGUCCAUUUGAAACAGAAUGUCCCUGAACCAUCUUCUUACCUGCAUAAGUCCUCGGAGGAGGUGAAGGAAGUCCAUGUGAAGGAGAAUGUCCCUGCACCAUCUUCUUACUUGCUCAAGUCCUCGGGGUUAAAAUCAUUAUUUGUGAAGGCUUCUGGUGUUAGUGUAUCCAUACAAGUAGAUGUAUCUAACACAAAAGUUGAUUAUCUGAUCAAUUCUGCCUGUGAAAAGUUAGGUGUCAAAGCUCAGGAUACCUAUGCAGUGUUGUGCGGUAAAGUUUUAGACUAUGAUAAAUCAUUGUCGGAGUACCUAUUGUAUCAAAACUCAACCGUUGAAAUCCGCUAUCGAGGAAGAGCUGGACAGCUAAAUUGGGAUCAAAAAUUCAAUGUUAAUGAUACAGUUCUGUAUUAUGAUGUUAACUUAGAUCCAGCUCUUCAAAAUGCUGGAAUCCAGGCAUUCCAAUAUGCACGGUUUUUCUCGGAUUUUUCCUCAUACAAUAUAUUCAGAAGGUGUUGAUGCAUGUUACUGAACAACAUCCGUGCAGGGUGGAGUUAUGAUGGGGGUUUUAAUAGCCAGAACAUUAUCUUUCAUGAUGGCGCAGUUAGUAUAGAAAAUGUCCCUGUAGUGGCAUUUGAUAAAGAUCCAUGUGCUCGGGAUUAUACUAGUCUCUACAAUAUAUUCUCUACAAGGUUUGGACCAGUGUAUCCAGUACAUUUCGAUCAUCUCCUUGAAUUCCUAAGAACAUGUCCUUGUGGGGUGAACUCCAGAAACGAUGCAAUAGUUGCGUUUGUCACAAAUCAUCCUAGUAUUGAAACAUAUGUUGAUAGGAUGAAACAAUUGAUGAUUUUAGACAAUGUGGUACAUAGACACCCUGCACAUCUUCAGGCUAAUAUAAAAGCUAUGGCAGCAUAUGCUUCACACGCUAGUUUAAGAGCUAGUAUGGGACCAUAUGCAUAUGCUUGGAAAGGUUCUGCGCAGCUUGUUCCUGAACUCAAUAAUGUUCUUAUCUAUCAACCAUCCGGGAAACCAUUACAAUGGAAAAAUCCCUUAUAUACUGAUAAUGCAAAAGGUUGUCUUCAUUUUGCCAAUAAUUUUUUGAAGCAUGCAAGAAACAGGUUCCCAGAAGAACAAAUUGAGGCAGCAUUUGCUCUACACAUGAAAAAUUUCCUGCCAAAGAUAUUACAGGGACUAGCUGAACUUGCUGAUCGCACCCCAAACAGACAAUACAUCAAUGACAUGCUUUCAAACCCACUGGCGGAUAUAAGCACGGGAAAUUAGAUUCGGAGAUGCAUUAUGUAGGAAGCAACAAUCUGGAGAUAUUUUAAUUGGAAAGCUGUGAAGGAAUGUCAUUGUAUCGGAAUGUCAUUGUAUCUUGCUCAGGCCUCAUGGAGGCAUGUAUCUUCUCUGUUUCUUUGGACCGGUG